Molecule: ribosomal RNA, 253 nt
Filed under: uncultured bacterium
Lineage: Bacteria
Description: partial 16S ribosomal RNA
Rfam family: Bacterial small subunit ribosomal RNA
Source: RNAcentral
UACGGGGGGGGCAAGCGUUGUUCGGAAUUACUGGGCGUAAAGGGCUCGUAGGCGGCCAACUAAGUCAGACGUGAAAUCCCUCGGCUUAACCGGGGAACUGCGUCUGAUACUGGAUGGCUUGAGUUUGGGAGAGGGAUGCGGAAUUCCAGGUGUAGCGGUGAAAUGCGUAGAUAUCUGGAGGAACACCGGUGGCGAAGGCAAUCCCCUGGGCCUGCACUGACGCUCAUGCACGAAAGCGUGGGGAGCAAACAGG